GGGUAAGGGAAGGAUAGUCUCUUCUUUUGGAGCAUUUACUAUUGUGUUGAGCACCACAGGUGCAGCGCAGAAGUGAGUCACACCUUGGUUGGCAAUGGCCGAAUAGACUGCCUUGGCUGUGACCUGCCUCAAGCAAAUAUUUGUCCCGCAAAGAGCUGCAAGCGACCAGGCGUAACACCAACCAUUGCAAUGGAACAUGGGCAAAGUCCACAGAUAAAUAGCUCCUUCAUUGAGACC
Molecule: unclassified non-coding RNA, 237 nt
Filed under: Hevea brasiliensis (rubber tree)
Lineage: Eukaryota; Viridiplantae; Streptophyta; Magnoliopsida; Malpighiales; Euphorbiaceae
Source: RNAcentral